GGGCUUACGGGGGGCAGCAGUGAGGAAUAUUGGUCAAUGGGCGAGAGCCUGAACCAGCCAAGUCGCGUGAAGGAUGACGGCCCUAUGGGUUGUAAACUUCUUUUGUCAGGGAGCAAUUGGGUCCACGUGUGGGCUUAGCGAGAGUACCUGAAGAAAAAGCAUCGGCUAACUCCGUGCCAGCAGCCGCGGUAAUACGGAGGAUGCGAGCGUUAUCCGGAUUUAUUGGGUUUAAAGGGUGCGUAGGCGGAAUAUCAAGUCAGCGGUAAAAAUUCGGGGCUCAACCCCGUCGUGCCGUUGAAACUGAU
This 305-nucleotide ribosomal RNA is filed under the name uncultured bacterium. RNAcentral's name for it is "bacterial SSU rRNA". It matches the Rfam family "Bacterial small subunit ribosomal RNA", at positions 333 to 637 of the family's 1533-position model. The record is from RNAcentral.